UUCCUACGGGACGCAGCAGUGAGGAAUAUUGGUCAAUGGGCGCGAGCCUGAACCAGCCAAGUCGCGUGAGGGAAGACGGUCCUAUGGAUUGUAAACCUCUUUUGUCGGGGAGCAAAAGACGCCACGCGUGGCGUUCCGAGAGUACCCGAAGAAAAAGCAUCGGCUAACUCCGUGCCAGCAGCCGCGGUAAUACGGAGGAUGCGAGCGUUAUCCGGAUUUAUUGGGUUUAAAGGGUGCGUAGGCGGUUCGAUAAGUUAGAGGUGAAAUCCCGGGGCUCAACUCCGGCACU
RNAcentral lists this ribosomal RNA (289 nucleotides) under uncultured bacterium. RNAcentral's name for it is "partial 16S ribosomal RNA". It matches the Rfam family "Bacterial small subunit ribosomal RNA", at positions 336 to 622 of the family's 1533-position model. The record is from RNAcentral.